UACGAAGGGGGCUAGCGUUGCUCGGAAUUACGGGGCGUAAAGGGCGCGUAGGCGGAUAUUUAAGUUGGGGGUGAAAUCCCGGGGCUCAACCUCGGAAUUGCCUUCAAAACUGGAUAUCUUGAGUUCGGGAGAGGUGAGUGGAACUCCGAGUGUAGAGGUGAAAUUCGUAGAUAUUCGGAAGAACACCAGUGGCGAAGGCGACUCACUGGCCCGAUACUGACGCUGAGGCGCGAAAGCGUGGGGAGCAAACAGG
This 253-nucleotide ribosomal RNA is filed under the name uncultured bacterium. Its description in RNAcentral is "partial 16S ribosomal RNA". It matches the Rfam family "Bacterial small subunit ribosomal RNA", at positions 524 to 776 of the family's 1533-position model. The record is from RNAcentral.